RNAcentral lists this long non-coding RNA (208 nucleotides) under Elaeis guineensis (African oil palm). RNAcentral's name for it is "long non-coding RNA (EGUI_LNC073119)". The record is from RNAcentral. Lineage: Eukaryota; Viridiplantae; Streptophyta; Magnoliopsida; Arecales; Arecaceae.
GAGAAUACUUUUUCGAUGAGUUUUUGACAUAUCUAGAAGAGAAUAGGAUUAUCUCUUAAUGAAAUUAAUUUUGUUAGACAUAGUUUGAUCCAUGAUGGGAUUUACUAGUCUGUCAGUCUCUUUUUAGGAUUAUACUCUUGAGACUACUUGUUAUGUUCUCAACUGAAUUUCGAACUAAUCAGUCGUAAAGACACCGUAUGAAAUAUAA